CAGAAUAGCUGUAACUGACGGUAAGAUCAUUAUCGAGAGUCUGCACCGAAUGCCCCUUUGCUCUGCUCUGGACGCGGUGUGCAGCUCACCCCUUACCCUUGCUUACAUGCACCUCUUGUUGUUUCCUCGGCGGGGCUACCCGCCGAUGGGAAGCCUAUCAAACCUCUUGCAUCAGCAUGAAAACUUCUGAAUACAACUUAAAUCUUUACAACUUUCAACAAUGGAUCUCUUGGUUCUGGCAUCGAUGAAGAACGCAGCGAAAUGCGAUAAGUAGUGUGAAUUGCAGAAUUCAGUGAAUCAUCGAAUCUUUGAACGCACAUUGCGCCCCUUGGUAUUCCGUGGGGCAUGCCUGUUCGAGCGUCAUUUACACCCUCAAGCUCUGCUUGGUGUUGGGCGUCUGUCCCGCCGUCUAGGCGUGGACUCGCCCCAAAGGUAUUGGCAGCGGUCCUCGCCAGCUUCUCGCGCAGCAGUUCGCGCUUUGGAGUGUAGCGAGGCCCGUAUCCAUAAAGAACACUUUCCAUAAUUGACCUCGGAUCACGUAGGGAUACCCGCUGAACUUAAGCAUAUAAAAACCCCGAAGAAA
RNAcentral lists this ribosomal RNA (583 nucleotides) under Ascomycota sp. Z34. RNAcentral describes it as "eukaryotic LSU rRNA". The stretch from base 210 to 363 matches the Rfam family "5.8S ribosomal RNA". Lineage: Eukaryota; Fungi; Ascomycota. The record is from RNAcentral.